AGAGUUUGAUCAUGGCUCAGGACGAACGCUGGCGGUGUGCUUAAGACAUGCAAGUCGUGCGGACCGUAGCAAUACGGUCAGCGGCGGACGGGUGAGUAACACGUGGAUAACCUGCCUGACUCCCCGGGAUAACAGGCCGAAAGGCCUGCUAAUACCGGGUAAGCUCACGGGGCCGCAUGGUCCUGGGAGAAAAGCUCCUGCAAGGGAGUGGGGUCAGAGGGGUCCGCGGCCCAUUAGCUAGUUGGGGGGGUAACGGCCCACCAAGGCGACGAUGGGUAGCCGGCCUGAGAGGGCGACCGGCCACACUGGGACUGAGACACGGCCCAGACUCCUACGGGAGGCAGCAGUCGGGAAUUUUGGGCAAUGGCCGAAAGGGCUGACCCAGCAACACCGCGUGAGUGAAGAAGGCCUUCGGGUUGUAAAGCUCUGUUGCCCGUGAAGAACGGUACUAUCAGGAAAUGGGUAGUACUUGACGGUAGCGGGUGAGGAAGCUCCGGCUAACUACGUGCCAGCAGCCGCGGUAAUACGUAGGGAGCGAGCGUUGUCCGGAUUUAUUGGGCGUAAAGGGCGUGUAGGCGGCUUUUUAAGUCUGAAGUGAAACGCCAGGGCUCAACCCUGGAACUGCUUCGGAUACUGGGAAGCUUGAGUACUCUAGAGGGCAGUGGAAUUCCGGGUGUAGCAGUGAAAUGCGUAGAGAUCCGGAGGAACACCAGUGGCGAAGGCGACUGCCUGGGGAGAAACUGACGCUGAGGCGCGAAAGCUGGGGGAGCAAACGGGAUUAGAUACCCCGGUAGUCCCAGCCGUAAACGAUGAGUGCUAGGUGUAGGGGGUAUCGACCCCCCCUGUGCCGGAGUUAACGCAAUAAGCACUCCGCCUGGGGAGUACGGCCGCAAGGUUGAAACUCAAGGAAUUGACGG
This 917-nucleotide ribosomal RNA is filed under the name uncultured bacterium. RNAcentral describes it as "bacterial SSU rRNA". It matches the Rfam family "Bacterial small subunit ribosomal RNA", at positions 8 to 916 of the family's 1533-position model. The record is from RNAcentral.